Unclassified non-coding RNA from Apis florea (little honeybee), 1849 nucleotides. The record is from RefSeq and is a predicted model, not a curated record. Lineage: Eukaryota; Metazoa; Arthropoda; Insecta; Hymenoptera; Apidae.
CAUCUAUAUAAUAUAAACCAAUAUAUUGUUAGAAUUUAAUUGUGUUCAAUAUAUGAAAAAUCUUAAACUUUCCAUUAUAACUAUUUCUUGUAAUCUUGUCGUUAUUUUCGUAUAUAAUCUUAAAUCACAAAACUAAAAGAUAGAAAUGGAAUAAAUAACAUUGAAUUAAAACGAAAUAUAAUGUUAAUAAUAAAAAUAUUGUGAAUAUAUGAAUCAAAUGAAAAUGAAAUAGGUAAAUGCGAAAAAUUAGAUCGUAAUAUAAAAAAGAUAGUCAAGUUAUGGAAGUAGUGGGGAUAGAUGCAGCGAGACAAGGGCUGACGCGCGGUAAUUGAGAAUCGUUAACGCGUCCUCGAGAGAGAUUGAGCGACUGGAUUUUGCUAGGUCCUCUUUUACUCUCCGCAGCCGUUACCAUCAGCUUGUCUCCCUCUUUUCGUCCCGGCUUCCUAGCCACUAUGCUGAUGACCUUCAACCGUUCAAGAGGGGAUGGACCUCGUUGGCUAGCGGGCCGAGGUAUAAGGUCAAGGUUGCUGUAGUCGGUGUGCACGGGAUAUGCGACCUCCAAAUGCAUCGAGCGAGAUGCGUGCGCAAUUGACGCAUGCGCGCCAUGAGCCGGCUUGUCGUGCGUCGCAGCGUGUCGCGCAAGUCAUUGCCAAGGUCUUCUCUGGUCACGGGCAAACCGUUAUAAGUAGCGAUGGGCACGAACUGGAAUGUAAUUUUUAAACUGUAUAAUUAAAGAUCAAUGUAUAUCAUUAGAUGCUUUUAGGAUGUUAUUAAUUUAAGUUUUGACGAUUUGAAAAAUCAUGCAUCUUCAUUGAAUAAUUUACAUCCUACAUGAUGUUGAAAUCUUUUAUGAAUGAAAUUAUUAAAAGAGCAUAGAAGAAAUAGAAUAUGUAAUAGGAAAAAUAUAUGAAAAAUUAAUGUUAAGCAUUGAGAGUGGCCAUCUUGAAAUUUGUAUUGCAUUGCAUUUGUAUUUUUUUAACAUAUUAUAUAUUCAAUUUGUUUCAAUUUGAUAUUAGAUUAUGAGAAUUUCGGUUCCAUCGCUAGUCGUAAGUUGCCGGUUGAGACUGAUGCAAGGUCGUCAACGAUUGUUUCAGGAAAAAGAAAAAGCUAAUUGUACUCAUUUUGUAUUAAAAAAAAAGAACAUUGAAAGAAACAAUCAGGAAAAGAUGUAUAUAAAUAUUUUUAUUACAUUUUUAUUGUAAGAUUUCUAAUAGAAAUAUCUAUAAAAGAAUUUCUUUUAACCUAAAAUAUAAAGCAACGAAGUAUCAAAUUUUUAUAAGAUUUUAUCGCGAAGAAAUCUAUUUCUAAUUCUGGCGAAAGGAAAUCAUGAAAGGAAUAAAAGCGCGCGUCGCGACGCCUGCGUCACGACAUCCGACGUACAUCCAUGGCCAAGGUCCUCCCCGGUCACGGGCAAUCCGUUAUACGUAGCCGGGAGCCAACACUUGCUCGAGGUCGUCCAUGACUAUCUUAUUCGCCUCAAGGUGAUUCAUCGAGGUAGCUGGAUUUUGGAACACCUUCUACGUCGCGUUAUGAGCGACUUUUGUUGACGUACGUGCAUAACCGGCCAUGCAUUUAUGCUCCAUCAAGACGUCACGUCCUCGUGACCUGUGCUUAGUUGUGCGCACGUCAAUACAUGUUUAUGUAUACGCCGUAUCAAGAAACACGUCAAGGGCACGACCGCAGAACCGAAGAUUCACGAUGGAAAAUCACGAUCGCCGUAAUGAAAGAAAAAAAAAAAGAAGCUCCGCGAAAAUCAGUGAAAUUUCAUUGGGAUCAAAAGUUCAUACAGUUGAAGUUACACCAUGAUUUUUAUAAGUUCAAGAAGUUCAAGGUAAGUAAAUUGAAUCUG